CAAAGGUGAGCCAGUACAGGAUGGACCCGCGUCUGAUUAGCUAGUUGGUAAGGUAACGGCUUACCAAGGCGACGAUCAGUAGCCGACCUGAGAGGGUGAUCGGCCACAUUGGAACUGAGACACGGUCCAAACUCCUACGGGAGGCAGCAGUGGGGAAUAUUGCACAAUGGGCGAAAGCCUGAUGCAGCAACGCCGCGUGAGUGAUGAAGGCCUUCGGGUCGUAAAACUCUGUCCUCAAGGAAGAUAAUGACGGUACUUGAGGAGGAAGCCCCGGCUAACUACGUGCCAGCAGCCGCGGUAAUACGUAGGGGGCUAGCGUUAUCCGGAUUUACUGGGCGUAAAGGGUGCGUAGGCGGUCUUUCAAGUCAGGAGUGAAAGGCUACGGCUCAACCGUAGUAAGCUCUUGAAACUGGGAGACUUGAGUGCAGGAGAGGAGAGUGGAAUUCCUAGUGUAGCGGUGAAAUGCGUAGAUAUUAGGAGGAACACCAGUUGCGAAGGCGGCUCUCUGGACUGUAACUGACGCUGAGGCACGAAAGCGUGGGGAGCAAACAGGAUUAGAUGCCCUGGUAGUCCACGCUGUAAACGAUGAGUACUAGGUGUCGGGGGUUACCCCCUUCGGUGCCGC
Molecule: ribosomal RNA, 625 nt
Filed under: uncultured bacterium
Lineage: Bacteria
Description: bacterial SSU rRNA
Rfam family: Bacterial small subunit ribosomal RNA
Source: RNAcentral